This 1110-nucleotide long non-coding RNA is filed under the name Sus scrofa (pig). RNAcentral describes it as "lncRNA (ENSSSCG00030061387.1)". The record is from RNAcentral. Lineage: Eukaryota; Metazoa; Chordata; Mammalia; Artiodactyla; Suidae.
UGAUUUAAAAAAAAAAAGAAAAAAGAAAAAAACGUUGUGUAACCAUCAAGGUACUAUUGCAGUAUUACAAUCCUGUUUUCCGAUGUGGUUAAAAAACUUCCUUCUAAAUAUUUAAAUUUUAAAAGAAAAAAAGAACCACAAGCUAAACUGAGUAUUUAAUACAUUCUUAGAGUAGAAGGAAUGCAACAAUAAUUAUAAUUUCAUAAUAUAUAUUAGACAUUUAUGUGAAAGAUGUUCCAUUUUUCAAAGAAGUUUCUCCUACUAACUUUUUUCUCUCUCUUCCUUAGAGCAAUAAACAGUAAUUACUACUCUUACAGAUAAGCUGCUCCACUGAGUUGGACAGUAAUUACAUCUUUGUUUCAAGUCUUAUCAUCUCCAAAAACUACCUUUCAUUUCACUGCAGUCUCAUUGCAUUGUUUCACAGUAAAAUUAUACUCCUCAAAUUUGAAGAGCCUGAAUAAAAGCUAGAGGCCCAAGGAUUUUUAGGUACCGAUUUAGUAACAGUGUCUACUUGCACAAACCUUCUAUUUAUUCAGAUUUUAAAAACUGCAAGAAAAGAAAUCUAUCUACAUUAAUGAAAAAGAACUCAGGAAUGAGAUCAUUAAAUAUAACUAACUACAUUUUAAAUACAAAUACCAGGGAUUUCUGAUUAGUGUCAGGUAAAUAUCUAAACUAUCUAUCCCGAUUCUGGUCUUAGGGAAAAAGAUCAGUGACAAUUAUAAACAAGAUGCUUCAUAUUAUCAGGUCCAUUUUUAAAACAAUGAGAUCCUUUGGGACAACCACUUUAGUCUUUCUUUUUAUCACAGAUUUCUAGUCCACUUUGCCUUUGUUUUUAUCAUUGCAGUCUCGUACAGCUUUCUUAGGCCACAUACGGCUAACAAAGGGGGAGAUGAGAGGGUAUAUAUAUGGUUCCAGGAAUUUUUUGUAGACCCAGAGCAGAACUGGAAUGACAAUGCAGGGAAUGCACACCAUUGUCCCAGGCUCGAGAUCCUCAACUGCUGGCAAAUGUGAAGAAAAACCAAAUUAAAGCAUCACAGAUUUACCUAGGUUAAGAUAUUUGAAAAGACUAUUUCUAGAUGGAAGGAAAAACUUCAAUCACGUUUCAUUUUU